Molecule: transfer RNA, 74 nt
Filed under: Cordylochernes scorpioides
Lineage: Eukaryota; Metazoa; Arthropoda; Arachnida; Pseudoscorpiones; Chernetidae
Description: tRNA-Thr
Rfam family: tRNA
About the family: Transfer RNA (tRNA) molecules are approximately 80 nucleotides in length. Their secondary structure includes four short double-helical elements and three loops (D, anti-codon, and T loops).
Source: RNAcentral
GUCCAGGAUAGCCUAGUGGACAUGGCACCUGCCCGGUAAGCAGAAGGUUGUGGGUUCGAUUCCCGUCCUGGACA